Platichthys flesus (European flounder) is the source of this 181-nucleotide long non-coding RNA. RefSeq lists it as uncharacterized. NCBI's taxonomy places the organism in Eukaryota, Metazoa, Chordata, Actinopteri, Pleuronectiformes, Pleuronectidae. The transcript has 3 exons. The record is from RefSeq and is a predicted model, not a curated record.
AGGAAAAUCCACGGAGCUUUGUGUGACAGCGGGGAGCACACCGCGCAACAACAUGAUGAUGAUGAAGAUAAUACCCAGAGAGAAGAGCAGCGUGCAGGACCUCUCACAGUACCACAGCAGGAAAGUGAAGAUACCACCCAAAGAGAUGAGCUGAGAGAAGAACCUCUCACAGUGCCACAGG